AUUGAACGCUGGCGGCAGGCCUAACACAUGCAAGUCGAACGAGUGGCGGACGUGUGAGUAAUGUCUGUGAAACUGCCCGCUGGAGUGUGAUAACUACUGGAAACGGUAGCUAAUACCGCAUACCAUCGUAUGUGCCCAUAUGUGUUUAGGUAGUGGGUGGUGUAAUGGCUCACCUAGGCGCCGAUUCCUCGCUGGUCUGAGAGGAUGACCAGCCACACUGGAACUGAGACACGGUCCAGACUCCUACGGGAGGCAGCAGUGGGGAAUAUUGCACAAUGGGCGCAAGGCUGAUGCAGCCAUGCCGCGUGUAUGAAGAAGGCCUUCGGGUUGUAAAGUACUUUCAGCGAGGAGGCGUGACUCGAAGAAGAAGCACCGGCUAACUCCGUGCCAGCAGCCGCGGUAAUUC
This 406-nucleotide ribosomal RNA is filed under the name uncultured bacterium. Its description in RNAcentral is "partial 16S ribosomal RNA". It matches the Rfam family "Bacterial small subunit ribosomal RNA", at positions 30 to 526 of the family's 1533-position model. The record is from RNAcentral.